UUCCUGUUGGUCCAGUGACUAAGACUCUGCACUCGCAAUGCAGGGGCCCAGGUUCAAUCCUUGGUCAGGAAC
Molecule: transfer RNA, 72 nt
Filed under: Bos taurus (domestic cattle)
Lineage: Eukaryota; Metazoa; Chordata; Mammalia; Artiodactyla; Bovidae
Also listed under: 2 other names
Rfam family: tRNA
About the family: Transfer RNA (tRNA) molecules are approximately 80 nucleotides in length.
Source: Rfam by way of RNAcentral